This 2809-nucleotide long non-coding RNA is filed under the name Equus caballus (horse). RNAcentral describes it as "lncRNA (ENSECAG00000044072.1)". Lineage: Eukaryota; Metazoa; Chordata; Mammalia; Perissodactyla; Equidae. The record is from RNAcentral.
AAAAGCCCAAAUGUUAACAUUUGUUCAUUAAGGGUGGUAAGUAUCACGUUAUUAUUACUGCAAUUUUCUGUGGUUUCAUUUUUUUUAUGUUAAACUAAGACUCUGGUUUUGUGGAGGAGCAAUAGUAGAAGCAGAAAGGAGAAAAGACUGUUUUCAGUGGUCCAGGAGAGAGCAAUGGUGCCUUGGAUCAGGGUGGAGGCAUUGAAGAUGGAGAGAAACCAACACACACCAGAUGUAUUUUAGAGGAUUUGCUAAUAAUUUGGAUGGGGGUGAGGGAAAGAUAAGAACUGAAGUAACUCCUGGGUUUGGAGUUCAGGCAGCUGAGGGGAUGACAUUUAUGAAGAUUUAGACGACCUAAGGAGGAAGGAUUAUGGAGGAAAGGGUGGUGUGGAGUACCUAAAUAAAUUGUGCCUAUUAAGUCUGAGAGAACAAUUAGACAUCUAAGUAGAGAUGUCAAACAUGAAACUGGAUGUCUGAGUCUGGUGCUCAGGGGAGAAGUCAGGGCUGGAGAUAGACAAUAGGAAGUUACCAGAAUAUAAUGGUAUCUAAGCCAUAAGACUGGAUGAGGUCAUGAAGAGAGAAAGUGUGGAAAGGGAAGGAGGCAGGACAAAGCCCAGGGACACUCCUACAUUACCCUGGUAGACCUAGAGGAGUUAGUGAAGGAAAAGCAGGAAAAAUAGAAGUAAAACCAGGAGAGGGUGGCAUCAUAGAAACUAAUAAAGGAAAAAGUGAAAUGAAGAUAAAGGUAAAUUAGAUUUGACAAGGUCAUUGGUGACCUUGACAAGAACAGUAUAUAUGGCAGAGUGAAGACAAAAGCCAGUAGAUUGAUGAGUGAAUGAACUUUUCAGUUUGUUUGAAAUGCCUCAUAAUAUAAUUUAAUUUUUAUUUUAUUUUACUAUUAACUCUUGGGAAAUAAGAAAAUAAAGACCAAAGUAGAAAACCCAAGAAGUUUUUCUCAGAAAAGGGUCACAGAGAGGGUUGUGACUGCAGAGGGAAUUGGUAUCAAGGAAGGUGCAAUUUUUGGUUUGCUUUGUCUCAUUUUGAGGCGGGAGAUAUUUGAGCAUGUAUUUGUAGGACUUCAGGAAUGAUCUCGUAGUAAGGGAGAGACUGAAGAUACAGGGAUAAGAAAAAGGGUGGUUACAGGAAUAGAGUCCUUAGGAAGGUGAGAGGGGAAAGGAUUCUAGCACAUAUUAAAGGAUACUUUUUCCACUGUAACAAAAGACAGGGAAUGUCAGCACAGGGGCAGAAAGUCUUGAAUAUUUGGUUCUGGAGAAACAAGAAUAUUCCAGAAAAAUGCAAUGAGGCCACUAACCAACAGAGAGGAAGAGAAAUGCUGCAGAAGGUUUGAGAAGAAAAGAAAUGUCAUCUUGGAGAGUAAAAUCAAAAAAUAAAUAGAACUGAAUGGAAAUGAAAGCAUAACCUAUCAAAAUGUGUGAGAUGCAGCUAGAGCAGUGCUUAGAGGAAAUUUUAUAGCACUAAAUCCAUACAUUGGAAAAGAAGAACAGUCUAAAAUCAAUAAUCUAAGCUCCCACCUCAAGAAUCAAAAACAGAAAAGCAAAAUAAACCCAAAGCAAGCAGAAGGAAAGACAUAAUAGAGACAAGAACAGAAACCAAUGACAUUGAAAACGAAAAAGCAAUAGAGAAAAGUCAAUGAAACAAACAGCUGGUUCUUUGAAAAGAUCAAUAAAAUUGAGAAAACUCUAGCAAGACUGAGAAGGGAAAAAAGAGAACACACAAGAUACCAAUAUCAGCAAUUAAAUAGGGGAUAUAACUAUAGAGACUUCAGACGUCAAAAGGAAAAUAAGGGAAUACCAUGAACGACUUUACACACACACAUAUGACAAUAGAUGAAAUGGUCCACUUUCUCAAGAAACACAAACUACUACAACUAACCCAAUACAAAAUAAGUUAUUUGAAUAGCGUUAUAACUAUUAAGAAAACUGAAUUCAUAAUGUAAAAACUACCAAAAAGAACCGUCCAGGCACACAUGGUUUCACCAGAGAAUUUUACCAAAUGUUUAAGGAAGAAUUAACACAAUUGCACAGAAUCUCUUCUAAAAAACAGAAGAGGAAGGAACAGUUCCCAAUUCAUUUUAUGAAGCUAGUAGUACCCUGAUGCUAAAUCCAGACCAAAACAACAGUACAAAGAAAGAAACUUACCAACCUACAAGCCUCGUGAGGAUAGAUGCAAAAUCCUUAACAUAAUAUUAGUGAAUAAAAUUCAGCAGUAUAUAAAAAAGAACUAUAUACCAUGAUUAAGUGGGAUUUUUUCCCCAGGGAUGCAAAGCUGGUCCAAUAUUCAAAAAUCAAUCAAUAUAAUCCACGACAUUAACAAGUUAAAGAAUAAAGAUCGCAUGAUCAGUCAAUGCAGAAAAAGCAUUGGACAAAAUCCAAUACCCUUUCAUGAUUUUUUUUUAACUCUCAGAAAAAUAGGAAUAGAGGAAAACUUCCUCAACUUGACAAAGAUCACAUACAAAAAACCAACAGCUAACAUCAUAUUUAAUGGUGAAAGACUGAAUGCUUUCCCCCUAGGAUCAGUACAAGGCAAGGAUGUUCACUGCUGUCAUCACUCUUAUUCAACAUAAUCCUGUAAGUUCUAUCCAGUGCAAUAAGGCAAGAAAAGGCAGACAGAUCAAAAAGGAAGAAAUAAAACUGUCCCUAUUAGCAGAUAACAUGAUUAUCUACAUAGAAAAUCCCAAAUAAUCUACAAAAAAAAAACCUCUAGGAACUAUUAAGUGAAUUCAACAAGCUCAUAAGAUAAACACAAAAAUUUCAAUUGUAUUUCUACAUCCUAGCAAUGAACUCAUGGA